UGCAAAGUACCAGCCAGCCUUAGCAUCA
RNAcentral lists this small RNA (28 nucleotides) under Bombyx mori (domestic silkworm). RNAcentral describes it as "ovarian small RNA-33273". The record is from RNAcentral. Lineage: Eukaryota; Metazoa; Arthropoda; Insecta; Lepidoptera; Bombycidae.